This 593-nucleotide small RNA is filed under the name Gottschalkia purinilytica. Lineage: Bacteria; Bacillati; Bacillota; Tissierellia; Tissierellales; Gottschalkiaceae. The record is from RNAcentral.
AUUUACUUAGUCUAGAGUGGUGCAGUAUUCUAGUCAGUCAAACUAAUUUUGAAGGCGGGGCUAAAAAUCCGUCAUAUGGCACAUCGAUGAAGUCCCUGGUUUCGGCUUCUGACGCCCCGUCGGGGGUCGUUUCUGGGAGUAAGGAGGAUGGGGCGAUCUGCAAGGGCAUGCAGGCGUUGACCCUACCUUCGUGGAGACUCGAAUAUUAAUAUAAUGUUUGAGAUAAACCUACAAUAGUAGUUACAGCUACUUGUAGUGUAGCCUGCCUUGCGUGAAAUAGGCGGAACACAGGUGUAGCUUUGAAACCUAUGGGCCCAUAGAAUGAUAAGCUUUGCUGUGGAAACCUAUUUUGCAAAAGAGGCUAGAAAUUAGUGUAGCUGCAGAGGAAAUCUCCUAGACUGUUCUAAAUGAGGUAUAUUUAGGGAUUACAGUGCGGACUAAGUGGUAAUCUAGCUCUAUUUUUGGCGACAGAGUAGAGGUAGGAUUAAAGGGAAACCGCUGAUUUGGCGACAAACAGUUCUUACCUGGGAAAUCCUGCUAGACCUCAAGCCGUAAAAUUUACCUAAUAUACUACCACUCAUGCUGAUAGCUUU